CUGACCUCGAGGGAGGCACAGUGCCUGGAAAACACCAGGGACCCAAGACUCCGGCCCUACGUGGUUCGCCUUCUAGCGGGAGGAAAAACAGCAAACUCUACACCUAACAUACGGUUCCUGGUGCACAGCUCUUAAAACCCUCAGAAACGACUGUUUCUUACACGCAGAAGAGAUGACGCACAUCGGGGACAGGGCGCCGGUAGCUUCCAAAUGGGGGCCAGUCUCUAGAAAGACCACCCACCAUGUACGUUGGAGGUCGGAUCUCGCCGCUGCUCUGUAUCACCCAACCCUACCUCUGUGGGGGGGAGCAGGGCUGCAGACCAAGUGCGAUCACCCGGUAGCCAAUGACUGGACGGCUAGAGCAAACCAUGUCUGCUUAACUGUUUUGCUACAGCAGCAGCUGAGCUGAGCUGAUCCAACGCUUCGUAACAAAGGAAAACGAUCGAAGGCUCCUCACACACGUGGAUUCAGCGGCACGUGCAAAAACUCAGCCCAGGGAAAGACGUGUCAAUCCGGAGUUAAUGAUCGCAUGAUCUGAGCCCCGCCAGCCACACACAACCACCCCACGGGGGAUGCAGAGCUUAAGUCUGGAGCCACUCCACGGUGACCCAGCUCUACUGUUGCCAGACUUUUAACAAGAAUGCAGUUUUUCACGGAACAAGGAGGAGGCAUGGGCGCUCCCACCGGCUUAUCUCAAUAAGGUCCUAGUUGCUGUCCCAAAAGAGAAGAGCGAAUCACAAAUGUUAGACUCUUUCGUCUUAGAGACUACCACAGAUUUUUUAAAUACUGACACCCGUUCUACAAUGCCAGGAUCUCUAUAAUGUUGGGACUAUAAGAAAGGCUAUUUAAUAUGCCCCGGCUUA
Long non-coding RNA from Prionailurus viverrinus (fishing cat), 863 nucleotides. RefSeq lists it as uncharacterized. The transcript has 3 exons. The record is from RefSeq and is a predicted model, not a curated record. NCBI's taxonomy places the organism in Eukaryota, Metazoa, Chordata, Mammalia, Carnivora, Felidae.